This 269-nucleotide long non-coding RNA is filed under the name Hordeum vulgare. RNAcentral's name for it is "long non-coding RNA (HVUL_LNC003666)". The record is from RNAcentral. Lineage: Eukaryota; Viridiplantae; Streptophyta; Magnoliopsida; Poales; Poaceae.
UCGAGCCACCGCCGCAUCUUCCACCGCUAGCUCUACGGCUCGCCGCCUCGCCCAAACGGCCGAACACCAUGGCCUCGCACGACCGCGGCCGCAUCCCCUCCUACCUUGCCGCCGCCACUGUCCUCCUCAUGGCCUUGCUCCUCCCGCCGCUGGCAUCUUCCCAGUGGCCGAAAUGCGACAUGACCAGCAACUUCACCCAGAACAGCACCUACCAGGCUAACAUCCAGGCCCUUUCCACCACCAUUCCCAAGAACGUCUCCUCCUCGCGG